Molecule: ribosomal RNA, 630 nt
Filed under: Pseudomonas aeruginosa
Lineage: Bacteria; Pseudomonadati; Pseudomonadota; Gammaproteobacteria; Pseudomonadales; Pseudomonadaceae
Description: bacterial LSU rRNA
Rfam family: Bacterial large subunit ribosomal RNA
Source: RNAcentral
GGUGCGCUCAGACCGGUCGGAAAUCGGUCGUAGAGUAUAAAGGCAAAAGCGCGCUUGACUGCGAGACAGACACGUCGAGCAGGUACGAAAGUAGGUCUUAGUGAUCCGGUGGUUCUGUAUGGAAGGGCCAUCGCUCAACGGAUAAAAGGUACUCCGGGGAUAACAGGCUGAUACCGCCCAAGAGUUCAUAUCGACGGCGGUGUUUGGCACCUCGAUGUCGGCUCAUCACAUCCUGGGGCUGAAGCCGGUCCCAAGGGUAUGGCUGUUCGCCAUUUAAAGUGGUACGCGAGCUGGGUUUAGAACGUCGUGAGACAGUUCGGUCCCUAUCUGCCGUGGACGUUUGAGAUUUGAGAGGGGCUGCUCCUAGUACGAGAGGACCGGAGUGGACGAACCUCUGGUGUUCCGGUUGUCACGCCAGUGGCAUUGCCGGGUAGCUAUGUUCGGAAAAGAUAACCGCUGAAAGCAUCUAAGCGGGAAACUUGCCUCAAGAUGAGAUCUCACUGGGAACUUGAUUCCCCUGAAGGGCCGUCGAAGACUACGACGUUGAUAGGCUGGGUGUGUAAGCGUUGUGAGGCGUUGAGCUAACCAGUACUAAUUGCCCGUGAGGCUUGACCAUAUAACACCCAAACA